Molecule: long non-coding RNA, 1045 nt
Organism: Hemicordylus capensis (graceful crag lizard)
Lineage: Eukaryota; Metazoa; Chordata; Lepidosauria; Squamata; Cordylidae
Exons: 3
Source: RefSeq, a predicted model, not a curated record
GUAGGGCCCAAGCCAGCCAGGAAGGAGGAGGCAGCCAGAGUGUUCUCUGCAGCAGAAGACCCCUUGCUGCCCUGCUUAACCCAGACCAGCAUUUGCCAGCUCUUCCGUAUACCAUGAGGCUAAUUCUAAAGUGGAUCAGAGAGGACACUUAGGAGCGAUCCUGUCUACUGCCUUGGAGUGCUUGCAAUUGAGACCAACGGUGCUCAAGUUCUGCUGGAUUGUGUCUUUUGAAGGAGGCAAGAAUGGAGGCAAGAAUUCCUCACAGUUACCGAUGAAGCAAUCGAUGAGCUUUCCAUGUGCUUUUCUGUUUGUAGGAACUUCUGACCAAAACCAGUGUAAUAAGUCAAUGUUUCCUUUUAAAAGGCUAUCUGUACUAGUUGCAGCCACAACCAUCUGGCUCACACACUUGUUCUAAUUUAAGUUUAAUGUGGAUUAUUGACAAUAGUGUGAUUGUGUGAACACAUGCAAAGGCCGAGAUUUCAGAUGCAUCAUGGGCCAUAAAUUAUCGUGGUGUUUUCACACUCUCAUGCUAAGGUUGGUAACCCACAUUAAACAUAGAUUCUAACAGUUGUGUGAAUUGGGUCAAUGUAUCGGUUAUGAAAUGCAUAACUGGGUUAUGGAAUUUCUUGCCACAGGAUGUGAUGUGAUGGUGUGAGGAGAUGAUUACAAAGAACCAUGGAAGACAAGGUCUUCCAACAUUAGCUAUAAGAGCAAAAGUAGGACUCUAUUAAGAGGAGGUCAGAAACAGCUCACUACUAGGUGCUGGAAACAACAAGCAGUCCAUUGGGGAGGAAGAUAGAAUCAAAGACCUUUGGUCUUCCGUCGGACUGCACUCCCAUGAAUUAGGCCAUCCAAAUCAAGCCCACCCCACUUGUAUGUAUAGUUCAGUAUAAUUAUAGUUCCGUAUAAUUAAUUUUUUUUAAGCAAGCUUGGCUAGGUGGGGAAACAAACAUCAUUCAACUGCUCAAUACCAAAUAAUCACACCUGUCUUGGGAAUUUCUAAAGCCAUCAUUCAGAUAAAAAUUAAACACCUGCCUUACCUUUA